Molecule: non-coding RNA, 2412 nt
Organism: Peromyscus maniculatus bairdii (prairie deer mouse)
Lineage: Eukaryota; Metazoa; Chordata; Mammalia; Rodentia; Cricetidae
Source: RefSeq, a predicted model, not a curated record
AUGCGCCCUGAAGGAGCAGCCCCCUCUUACAUCCCUGAAACAGGGAAAUGCUCCUCUCCAUACACUACCCUCAGAAGGGACGUACAUGACUGGGAUACCUAUGACGGGCCAUUAGCUGGGGAUCACGGAGCCAAUGAACCAACUUAUGCAGAGGCCUAUAUUACCCAGAUUGGGCCCCCAAGGGAGACAAGACCUAAGGGGCCAGGUGGAACACAAGCCCAUGGCAGCAGUGCUUGGCCUGGCAGCAGGCAUUGUCCUCAUGCUGCUCUUGCUCUGCCUCUACCGGGUGCUCUGCCCAUGGAACUAUGAGCAACCCAGUGGUGGUCACAGCAUGUGAAGAUGGGGAGAGAUGCCCUGUGAUUACUACAACUAUGCAUUGCCUGAGAGGGAGAUUACACCACUGGUGCUAUGAGGGUACCUUUUGGACAUGGAAUGUCUGGCUAGUGAUGGGAUGCUGCUGCCUGGCAGGCCAAGUCUGCAUGUGGGACGCACAGACUGUGGACUGCCUUACGUACAUCCUGCACCCAGGGCCAUGCCAGGACAGCUGCAGAGGCAGAGCUUUUGAAGCCCAGGAGACCUGGGAAAAGCUGUCAGAUGGUGGCAAAACUAGCCCUGAGGAGCCUAGGGACAGCCCUCUGCUGUGACACUGCCCCUGAGGGCCUCCACCACUUUCCCUCUUCAGGCACAAGUCAGACCUCACCUGAUCAACACCAACUUCUCAGUGCAGCUAACCCCAAAGCCUACUCAACCCAAACCUUGGCACCAGGCAGGCUGUGGCAGCUCUAGGGACUCUAGCUAUAAUUUCAGUUGGCUAGUGCAAUGUAUAUACAAGGAGGAGGGCCAGGCUGCCAUGUGCCACCCAUGCGCCCACCCUCUCAGGAUCUCCAAUGGCCCAGGCUUCUCAAGAAGAGGGGGCUGCACCCAUGAAGAGCUCCCCUCCUCUUACUGGGUCUCCCAGCACAGCCAGCUCUAUCUGGAGCUUGGAGCUGCAAGACCACCUCAUCAUAGUUGGAUGAAGCAGUGGCCUGCUGGAGGUGUGGAAUGCCAUUGAAGGGGUGCUCUGCUGCAGCAACAAGGCGGUCUCCUCAGGCAUCACAGCCCUUGUCUUCCUGGACAGGAGGAUUUUAGCUGCUAGGCUUAAUGGUUCCCUUGAUUUCUUUUCCUUGGAGACUCACACUUCCCUCAGCACCCUGCAGCUCAGAGGGACCCCAGGGCGAGCAGAUACCUCUUAGCCCAGUGCACAAAUGUGAGGGCAUGGAGAGCCCCUGGCAACUGCCCUGUGAUCUCCUGACAGAUACCAUCGACAGCUGAGGGCCUACACUAACCCUGUCUAAUGGGGGCUGCCUCUCAGCUGUGAGUCUGACCCCAUGGCCAGGCCAUGAAGCCCUGAAGAAGGCUUUGGUCAUUCAGGAGUCAGAGAGGCAGAAGAAGCUCCAUUUCCACCCACAGCAGCUGUACCUGUCAGUGAAGCAGGGAGAGCUACAGAAGGUGAUCCUUGUGCUGCUAGACAACCUGGACCCCAACUUCCAGAGUGAUCAACAGAGCAAGUACACACCCCUGCAUGCAGCUAUGCAAAAGGGCUCCAUGGAGAUCUGUCAUGCGCUGCUGCAGGCAAGAGCCAACAUCAAUGCCAUAAAUCAGCAACAACAUUCACCACUGAUGGAGGCCAUGGUGAACAACCACCUGGAGGUGGUGCAUUACAUGGUGCAGCUAGGUAGCUGUGUCUAUAGCAAGGAAGAGGAUGGCUCCACCUAUCUCUAUCAUUCAGCCAAAAUUGGAAACUUGGAGAUUGUUAGCCUACUGCUGAACACAAGACAUGGUACUGAUGUCACCCUAACUGACAAUGAGGAAAACGUCUGCCAGCACUGUACCUCCUUUACUGGCAGUGCUGCCAUUGCUGAGGUCCUCCUGAAUGCCCAGUGCGACCUCCAUGCUGUCAACUACCAUGGGGACAAAUCCCUACACAUCACUGCCAUGGAUAGCCACCAUGACUAUGGUCUGUUGUUCAUGUCUCGUAGAGCCAACCCUGAGCUUCAAAACAAGAAAGGAGACACAGCAUGGGACCUGACCCCAGGGUGUCCUGAUGUAUGGUUUACACUGCAGCUCAACCAUAGGCUUAGGCUCAGGGUAGGGAACCAGGCUGUCCAUACUGAAAAGGUCAUCUGCCAGGACAUUGCAAGAGGAUACAAGAAUGUGUCCAUUCCCUGAGUCAAUGGUGUGGAUGGCAAGCCAUGCCCUGAGGAUUAUAGCAACAUCAGCUACUUCAUCAACCACCUGUGUGACCCCAACUUCAUUUCUGUCCAGGGCUUCAUGAUGCACCAAGACCUACAGUCUCCAUGCAUUACCUUCUUCAAUUCCAGGGACAUCCAGACUGGGGAAGAGCUGGGGUUUGACUAUGGUGACCGAUUCUAG